GAUGCAACGCGAAAAACCUUACCCACCUUUGACAUGUACGGAAUCCUUUAGAGAUAGAGGAGUGCUCGAAAGAGAGCCGUAACACAGGUGCUGCAUGGCUGUCGUCAGCUCGCGUCGUGAGAUGUUGGGUUAAGUCCCGCAACGAGCGCAACCCUUGUCAUUAGUUGCUACAUUUAGUUGGGCACUCUAAUGAGACUGCCGGUGACAAACCGGAGGAAGGUGGGGAUGACGUCAAGUCCUCAUGGCCCUUAUAGGUGGGGCUACACACGUCAUACAAUGGAUGGUACAAAGGGUCGCCAACCCGCGAGGGGGAGCCAAUCCCAUAAAGCCAUUCGUAGUCCGGAUCGUAGUCUGCAACUCGACUACGUGAAGUCGGAAUCGCUAGUAAUCGUGGAUCAGAAUGUCACGGUGAAUACGUUCCCGGGUCUUGUACACACCGCCCGUCACACCAUGGGAGCGGGUUCUGCCAGAAGUAGUUAGCCUAACCGCAAGGAGGGCGAUUACCACGGCAGGGUUCGUGACUGGGGUGAAGUCGUAACAAGGUAGCCGUA
RNAcentral lists this ribosomal RNA (551 nucleotides) under uncultured bacterium. Its description in RNAcentral is "bacterial SSU rRNA". It matches the Rfam family "Bacterial small subunit ribosomal RNA", at positions 953 to 1504 of the family's 1533-position model. The record is from RNAcentral.